GGGAGCAUAGCUCAGCUGGGAGAGCGCUUGCCUUACAAGCAAGAUGUCGGCAGUUCGAUCCUGUCUGCUCCCACCA
RNAcentral lists this transfer RNA (76 nucleotides) under Peptococcaceae bacterium BRH_c4a. Its description in RNAcentral is "tRNA-Val". It matches the Rfam family "tRNA". From Rfam's summary of the family: Transfer RNA (tRNA) molecules are approximately 80 nucleotides in length. Their secondary structure includes four short double-helical elements and three loops (D, anti-codon, and T loops). Further hydrogen bonds mediate the characteristic L-shaped molecular structure. tRNAs have two regions of fundamental functional importance: the anti-codon, which is responsible for specific mRNA codon recognition, and the 3' end, to which the tRNAs corresponding amino acid is attached (by aminoacyl-tRNA synthetases). tRNAs cope with the degeneracy of the genetic code in two manners: having more than one tRNA (with a specific anti-codon) for a particular amino acid; and 'wobble' base-pairing, i.e. permitting non-standard base-pairing at the 3rd anti-codon position. Lineage: Bacteria; Bacillati; Bacillota; Clostridia; Eubacteriales; Peptococcaceae. The record is from RNAcentral.